AAAAAGGGAGUGUUUUUGAACUAUUAUUAUUUUUCAAAGGUUAAACCUUAAGCAAGUUAUUUUAUUUAUGCCUUUAUAUGGCUAAAGUUUUAUAUAAGAAUUAUUAUUCUUUUUAAAGGAGGAUUAUUUCCGAAGGAUUUUUAUUAGUUAUAUGAUCUUUUAUGAUCACAAUUUAUAAAGAGGCCACGGCUUGUUAUUUAUUAGCAAGAACGGUAGCUAUUAUUAUUUACCAAGGCAACGGCUUGUUAUUUAUUAGCAAGAACGGUAGCCAUUAUAUUAUUUACCCAUGUACUUUUUGUAUAAGUCAUGUGGACAAGGUAGUUCCCCUCGUAAUAGACUCAGUAAGGAAUACUAAACUUGGGGGGUGUGCACACUUUAGGCAAGGUACCUAGGCAAGGAAAAAGGAGUUUUUAUUGAAGUUAUAUACUUUAUAUUAUACAAGUAUUAUCAAGUAUCUAGAAAGGUUUUUUGAAAUUAAAUAUUUCAAAAGUUUAAUUAAAUAAAGUGUUUAAUAUUCCGCAUAUACAUGUACUCAGUAUUUUUACUGACACGCGUUUUGUUUUGUUUUGUUUUAUGGCUUUGUCCCUGUGAUGACCCUUUUGGUGAGCAGAUUUUACAGGUUGAUUGAUGCAUACUUCAUAUUGGGGAGCUAGUGAGGAAUCAUAAUUAGUCAAGGAGUUGUUAUUUUAUUUUCUUUAUUUCCAUUGUUAUAUAGGUGUACAAUAAAGUUUAUAUUAAUAAAGAGAAGUUAUUUAAGUUA
Long non-coding RNA from Beta vulgaris subsp. vulgaris (sugar beet), 760 nucleotides. RefSeq lists it as uncharacterized. The transcript has 2 exons. NCBI's taxonomy places the organism in Eukaryota, Viridiplantae, Streptophyta, Magnoliopsida, Caryophyllales, Amaranthaceae. The record is from RefSeq and is a predicted model, not a curated record.